GAUCCUGGCUCAGGAUGAACGCUAGCUACAGGCUUAACACAUGCAAGUCGAGGGGAGACGACAUCGAAAGCUUGCUUUUGAUGGGCGUCGACCGGCGCACGGGUGAGUAACGCGUAUCCAACCUGCCCACCACUUGGGGGAUAACCUUGGCGAAAAGUAAGACUAAUAACCCAAUGACAUCCCACGAAGACAUCUGAAUGGGAUUUAAAGAUUUAUACGGUUGAUGGAUGGGGAUGCGUCUGAUUAG
RNAcentral lists this ribosomal RNA (247 nucleotides) under uncultured bacterium. RNAcentral's name for it is "partial 16S ribosomal RNA". It matches the Rfam family "Bacterial small subunit ribosomal RNA", at positions 15 to 244 of the family's 1533-position model. The record is from RNAcentral.